UUAAGUUCAGCGGGUAUCCCUACCUGAUCCGAGGUCAAACUUAGAAAGUUGGGGGUUGCUGGCAAGCACACACCGAGAACUCUGUAGCGAGGAGUAUUACUACGCUUAGAGCACGAUGGCACCGCCACUGAUUUUAAGACCGAUCAGAACUGAUGCGGUCCAAGACCAAGCAGAGCUUGAGUGUUGUACUGACGCUCGAA
This 200-nucleotide unclassified non-coding RNA is filed under the name Helotiales sp. Its description in RNAcentral is "partial internal transcribed spacer 2". The record is from RNAcentral. Lineage: Eukaryota; Fungi; Ascomycota; Leotiomycetes; Helotiales.